RNAcentral lists this ribosomal RNA (760 nucleotides) under uncultured Bacteroidota bacterium. RNAcentral describes it as "bacterial SSU rRNA". It matches the Rfam family "Bacterial small subunit ribosomal RNA", at positions 73 to 828 of the family's 1533-position model. Lineage: Bacteria; Pseudomonadati; Bacteroidota. The record is from RNAcentral.
AAGAAGCUUGCUUCUUCUGAUGGCGACCGGCGCACGGGUGCGUAACGCGUAUCAAACCUGCCUCAUACUCGGGGAUAGCCUUGCGAAAGUAAGAUUAAUACCCGAUGUUGUUAUGUUGCCGCAUGGUGAUAUAACCAAAGAUUUAUCGGUAUGAGAUGGUGAUGCGCCCGAUUAGGUAGUAGGCGGGGUAACGGCCCACCUAGCCUUCGAUCGGUAGGGGUUCUGAGAGGAAGGUCCCCCAUACUGGAACUGAGACACGGUCCAGACUCCUACGGGAGGCAGCAGUGAGGAAUAUUGGUCAAUGGACGAAAGUCUGAACCAGCCAAGUAGCGUGCAGGAUGACGGCCCUCUGGGUUGUAAACUGCUUUUAGUUGGGAAUAAAAAAGAGGACGUGUCCUCUAUUGUAUGUACCUUCAGAAAAAGGACCGGCUAAUUCCGUGCCAGCAGCCGCGGUAAUACGGAAGGUCCAGGCGUUAUCCGGAUUUAUUGGGUUUAAAGGGAGCGUAGGCGGAUUAUUAAGUCAGUGGUGAAAGACGGUGGCUCAACCAUCGUUAGCCAUUGAAACUGGUAGUCUUGAGUGCAGACAGGGAUGCUGGAACUCGUGGUGUAGCGGUGAAAUGCUUAGAUAUCACGAUGAACUCCGAUCGCGAAGGCAGGUGUCCGGGCUGCAGCUGACGCUGAGGCUCGAAAGUGUGGGUAUCAAACAGGAUUAGAUACCCUAGUAGUCCACACAGUAAACGAUGUAUACUCGCGGUUUGCG